UAAAUAUUUGAAGCAGUACCGAGUGGCAGUUGUGGGAAUACACUCUCCACCAUGAGAUCAAUAAUACCUCUUCUCUCCGCCUGUCUGGUAGCAUCGGUAGCUGCCAAAAAAAGUAGCGGUAACUGUCCCGACCUCGACGGCAUAGACAUAAGCAUCAGAGAUUCAUACUGUGACCAGCCUCUCUUUGUGACAUUUGCGCCAAAAACUGAAGAAUACACUUUAGUAGACAACAUUUGUAUCACGUUUCUUCCCGCUUCCAGAUAACCCUGACACUUUCCAAGUCUACUAUUCUCGUGUUUUUUGUGAUGGAUCGAACGACAUAUCUUCACUUAUUUCCACUCAAAUUGAACUUGGGGUCAGUAGAAUAGCAAGUUAUUGGAAAAUAUUAUCACAGAAAUACACCAACAUCCACAACAACAGCAACACAAUGAGUAAACAAACAGAAGCAAAACCAAACACCACUACAUGGAAAAUUAUCUAUAGGUGAAUGGCUAACUGACAAUACUAUUUAUCAACUGAGUGCAUUCACAAUCUCCCUACAUCACAAUUGAUUGUCAUUUUGGUUGUCCUAGCGGGAUUGUGACAUGUCUUGGGUGGAAUAAUACAUUUUACGACCCGUAUUGCACUUUGACGGAAACCAUUUUCGGCUAUGCAGGCUGUGACACGUACCUUACUUACCGCUGCGUCAAUUAUGGAGCCUGCGCGGACGAACAGUCGAAGACGAAUGUGUUUGGGGUUUCUCCGGUAUGCCGCUCUAUCGGACUCUCCUGUCUUCAUAAAGUCGAGGAGAUUGUCAGCGAAAACGGUCUGCCAGAACAGGACUUCUACGUGUUCCCUAUGAAACUUCCCAACCGCUGUGUCACCCAACAACUCUGCCUUCAGCCCCCUAACCCUUUCUUCAAUUCUGUACAUUCGGGAGUCGCCUUAGUAUAGUUACUGAUACGGCCUUCACUUUUUAAAUUUAUUCUGAAUACGUAAUAAAAUUAUUAAAAUAAGUAUAUCUUAUAAAUUCGAAUCUGUAAAGUAUACUUUGUAUGAAUACUUCGCUUUAUUUCAUAACACACACACACACACACACACACACACACACACACACACACACACACACACACACACACAC
Molecule: long non-coding RNA, 1120 nt
Organism: Homalodisca vitripennis (glassy-winged sharpshooter)
Lineage: Eukaryota; Metazoa; Arthropoda; Insecta; Hemiptera; Cicadellidae
Exons: 7
Source: RefSeq, a predicted model, not a curated record